Molecule: ribosomal RNA, 205 nt
Filed under: uncultured bacterium
Lineage: Bacteria
Description: partial 16S ribosomal RNA
Rfam family: Bacterial small subunit ribosomal RNA
Source: RNAcentral
GUAGUCUGCAACUCGACUACAUGAAGCUGGAAUCGCUAGUAAUCGCGAAUCAGCAUGUCGCGGUGAAUACGUUCCCGGGUCUUGUACACACCGCCCGUCACACCAUGGGAGUCGGAAACGCCCGAAGCCAGUGACCCAACCGAUAAAACGGAGGGAGCUGUCGAAGGUGGGGCCGGUAACUGGGGUGAAGUCGUAACAAGGUAGC